Molecule: long non-coding RNA, 1050 nt
Organism: Phlebotomus papatasi
Lineage: Eukaryota; Metazoa; Arthropoda; Insecta; Diptera; Psychodidae
Exons: 3
Source: RefSeq, a predicted model, not a curated record
GCAUCGAAGAUGUCACCACAUUCUUCCAAUCUCAUUGUUCCUUGGACAGAGACAAAUUUCAAUGAAAAAAAUUCCAGGUAUACACAAGGACUUUGACCUUACCAGCAAAGAGACGUCCUUUGGGAUCGGCUUUACCAUCGUUGAAGCGAUUGGUUUUGUAUUUGUGGUCAUCUUGUUCCACUUGACCAACCAAACGGGUCACUUUGGCCGUUGCUGACUUUCCAUCCCACGUCACAACACCCACACGACGUCCAAUUCCGAUGGCAAAUUCAGAAUCAUUUCCCUCCACCGGCACAAUGAAUGAGAUCACGGGUUCUUUCUCUGUUUGGAAACAACAGAAUCAUAACAAAAAAAAGUAAAAUCCAUCACAGAAUUAUUAUAAGUUGAACAAUAAAGGCACGUGGAAAAGAGAUCUGUGGCAGAGAUCGCGAGUCCGGAUCAUGAAGAUGCACAUAAAUGGUUUGUGCAAAAUGCCAUGGCUAUUUAUACCCAAACAUACAACACAGCUCAGAGAGUAUCUCGAGAUCCGCCAGCAUGAUUCAGCGAUCUCUGUGCGAGAAGCAUUGGAUGUCCAGUAAAAAUUCCACGAGGGACUCUUUUUGCCUGUCCUUCACCUGAGAAAGUCAACCGUGGCCACACAUGGAUAUAGAGGCUUGGGAUGUGUGUUGGUGACGGUGUCUCGUCGUGCAUCUUCGGCGGAACCAGCAGGCAUCCACGGAGACACUCCAUGACGCACCAGAGACGGAUUCGUGAGAAUCUGGGGGAGAUUAUCCCGGGAUUGGUGUGCAUUAAUUAGCUUCCGGGGAUGCUAGUACAAAGGGAAUGAUGUGAGAUGGGGUAUGUGCAUUGAGUAAAUGGGAAUUUUAUUCAUUUGGAUCGAAUUCCCUCUUUCCUGUUGCCUCGAGCUUGGUGGAAGCAACUCCCUGGCCUGAAUCGCGCGCGAGCAGGAUAGAGUAAGAUAGCAUGAGGUGUUCCAGUAGUUGCCCAACGAAUUUUAAUCUCGAGCUGUGUAUUUUAAAAGUCACUGCUAUUGGAAUUAAAAACAAAGUU